This is a long non-coding RNA of Hibiscus syriacus, 353 nucleotides long. RefSeq lists it as uncharacterized. The record is from RefSeq and is a predicted model, not a curated record. The transcript has 3 exons. Lineage: Eukaryota; Viridiplantae; Streptophyta; Magnoliopsida; Malvales; Malvaceae.
GUAUGAUAUUCGCAAGAAUUUGGCCUGGGACAGUGCCUUUUUCAGAAGUCCAGGAGUUUUGGAUCCUGAAGAGUUGUUUGAGACUUUGAACAUUAAUGCUGGAGAUAAGGGACUCAAGGAACCAAGUGGUUUACCUUCGGAAUCUGUGGCAGCGAGUAGGAUCGGUGAUUGCAUUGCCCGGAGAAGUUUAGCUUGGGAUGCAGCCUUUUUCACCAGUGCAGGGGUAUUGAAUCCAGAAGAGGUGUGUUUGGUAAACAAUGGAUAUAGGAAGUCUGAAACAGUACCACAUAUACUUCCGGGAAUCGAACAAGAGUUUUGGAAAUCUACUGAAUCAGACUCUACAUUGGAUAGUG